RNAcentral lists this ribosomal RNA (467 nucleotides) under Listeria monocytogenes. Its description in RNAcentral is "partial 23S ribosomal RNA". It matches the Rfam family "Bacterial large subunit ribosomal RNA", at positions 727 to 1192 of the family's 2925-position model. The record is from RNAcentral. Lineage: Bacteria; Bacillati; Bacillota; Bacilli; Caryophanales; Listeriaceae.
GAUCUACCCAUGUCCAGGAUGAAGGUAAGGUAAUACUUACUGGAGGUCCGAACCCACGCACGUUGAAAAGUGCGGGGAUGAGGUGUGGGUAGCGGAGAAAUUCCAAUCGAACUUGGAGAUAGCUGGUUCUCUCCGAAAUAGCUUUAGGGCUAGCCUCGAGGUAAAGAGUCAUGGAGGUAGAGCACUGUUUGGACUAGGGGCCCUUCUCGGGUUACCGAAUUCAGAUAAACUCCGAAUGCCAUGUACUUAUACUCGGGAGUCAGACUGCGAGUGAUAAGAUCCGUAGUCGAAAGGGAAACAGCCCAGACCACCAGUUAAGGUCCCCAAAUAUAUGUUAAGUGGAAAAGGAUGUGGGGUUGCUUAGACAACCAGGAUGUUGGCUUAGAAGCAGCCACCAUUGAAAGAGUGCGUAAUAGCUCACUGGUCGAGUGACCCCGCGCCGAAAAUGUACCGGGGCUAAACAUAUU